This 872-nucleotide ribosomal RNA is filed under the name fungal sp. RNAcentral's name for it is "eukaryotic LSU rRNA". The stretch from base 431 to 872 matches the Rfam family "Eukaryotic large subunit ribosomal RNA", at positions 1 to 446 of the family's 3401-position model. The record is from RNAcentral. Lineage: Eukaryota; Fungi.
GCGGGAACAGACGGCCCCGUAACACGGGCCGCCCCCGCCAGAGGACCCCCUAACUCUGUUUCUAUAAUGUUUCUUCUGAGUAAACAAGCAAAUAAAUUAAAACUUUCAACAACGGAUCUCUUGGCUCUGGCAUCGAUGAAGAACGCAGCGAAAUGCGAUAAGUAAUGUGAAUUGCAGAAUUCAGUGAAUCAUCGAAUCUUUGAACGCACAUUGCGCCCGCCAGUAUUCUGGCGGGCAUGCCUGUUCGAGCGUCAUUACAACCCUCAGGCCCCCGGGCCUGGCGUUGGGGAUCGGCGGAAGCCCCCUGCGGGCACAACGCCGUCCCCCAAAUACAGUGGCGGUCCCGCCGCAGCUUCCAUUGCGUAGUAGCUAACACCUCGCAACUGGAGAGCGGCGCGGCCACGCCGUAAAACACCCAACUUCUGAAUGUUGACCUCGAAUCAGGUAGGAAUACCCGCUGAACUUAAGCAUAUCAAUAAGCGGAGGAAAAGAAACCAACAGGGAUUGCCCCAGUAACGGCGAGUGAAGCGGCAACAGCUCAAAUUUGAAAUCUGGCUCUCGGGCCCGAGUUGUAAUUUGUAGAGGAUGCUUUUGGUGAGGUGCCUUCCGAGUUCCCUGGAACGGGACGCCAUAGAGGGUGAGAGCCCCGUCUGGUUGGACACCGAUCCUCUGUAAAGCUCCUUCGACGAGUCGAGUAGUUUGGGAAUGCUGCUCUAAAUGGGAGGUAUAUGUCUUCUAAAGCUAAAUACCGGCCAGAGACCGAUAGCGCACAAGUAGAGUGAUCGAAAGAUGAAAAGAACUUUGAAAAGAGAGUUAAAAAGUACGUGAAAUUGUUGAAAGGGAAGCGCUUGUGACCAGACUUGGGCUUGGUU